GAUGAACGCUGGCGGCGUGCCUAAUACAUGCAAGUCGAGCGAACGGACGAGAAGCUUGCUUCUCUGAUGUUAGCGGCGGACGGGUGAGUAACACGUGGAUAACCUACCUAUAAGACUGGGAUAACUUCGGGAAACCGGAGCUAAUACCGGAUAAUAUUUUGAACCGCAUGGUUCAAAAGUGAAAGACGGUCUUGCUGUCACUUAUAGAUGGAUCCGCGCUGCAUUAGCUAGUUGGUAAGGUACGGCUUACCAAGGCAACGAUGCAUAGCCGACCUGAGAGGGUGAUCGGCCACACUGGAACUGAGACACGGUCCAGACUCCUACGGGAGGCAGCAGUAGGGAAUCUUCCGCAAAGGGCGAAAGCCUGACGGAGCAACGCCGCGUGAGUGAUGAAGGUCUUCGGAUCGUAAAACUCUGUUAUUAGGGAAGAACAUAUGUGUAAGUAACUGUGCACAUCUUGACGGUACCUAAUCAGAAAGCCACGGCUAACUACGUG
RNAcentral lists this ribosomal RNA (496 nucleotides) under uncultured bacterium. RNAcentral's name for it is "partial 16S ribosomal RNA". It matches the Rfam family "Bacterial small subunit ribosomal RNA", at positions 28 to 507 of the family's 1533-position model. The record is from RNAcentral.